RNAcentral lists this unclassified non-coding RNA (546 nucleotides) under Bartonella henselae. RNAcentral's name for it is "partial 16S-23S ribosomal RNA intergenic spacer". The stretch from base 107 to 180 matches the Rfam family "tRNA". Lineage: Bacteria; Pseudomonadati; Pseudomonadota; Alphaproteobacteria; Hyphomicrobiales; Bartonellaceae. The record is from RNAcentral.
AUCUAGACAAAACAAGUCCACCGUGGGCUUUGAAAAACGCUUUCCUUGAUAAAAUUUAAGCGUUUUAUAAGAGGAUGCCGGGGAAGGUUUUCCGGUUUAUCCCGGAGGGCUUGUAGCUCAGUUGGUUAGAGCGCGCGCUUGAUAAGCGUGAGGUCGGAGGUUCAAGUCCUCCCAGGCCCACCAGUUUAUCCAUUACUUUCAUAAGUGCUUUUAAAAAAUAAGUACUUCUAAAAAGAUUGCUUCUAAAAAGCUUAUCAAAAUUGGCAGGCUUAUUGCUUUUGUGUGAGUAAUCCAAAGUUAAAGCAAAUUAAUGGCAAAAAAACAGUUCAAAUGCUAAAUACUAAGGAGUCAAAAUUCCUUGCAAAGUGAUUUUUACAGCGUCCAUUUGGUUGAUAUAAAUUCCAAAUGCUCAUAGACGUCAAUGCCUAUAUGAAACUAUCGGUUCAAUCAUAUCGCUUUGAGUUAUAUAGAUUUUGUAAUCCCUCUUUUGAUCGUUUUAAACGCUUUAUUCUGAUUUAGGGGCCGUAGCUCAGCUGGGAGAGCACC